CCGCGGUAUCCUAACCGUGCGAAGGUAGCGUAAUCACUUGUUCUUUAAAUGAGGACUAGUAUGAAUGGCAUCACGAAGGUUAUACUGUCUCCCCUUUUUAAUCAGUGAAACUAAUCUUCCCGUGAAGAAGCGGGAAUAAAAUUAUAAGACGAGAAGACCCUAUGGAGCUUUAGACUACGCAACAAUUGCUAUUCACUUUUUACCCUAUGGGGCCCCAACUAUAUUUUCUCAUAUUGAUUGCUAGUCUUGGGUUGGGGUGACCGCGGAGUAAAAUAUAACCUCCACGAUGAAAGAAACUUAAUUUCUUAACCCAGAGUUACAACUCUAAGUACCAAAAAUUUGACAUUAAUUGAUCCAAUUUAUUGAUCAACGAACCAAGUUACCCUAGGGAUAACAGCGCAAUCUACUUCAAGAGUCCCUAUCGACAAGUAGGUUUACGACCUCGAUGUUGGAUCAGGGUAUCCUAGUGGUGCAGCCGCUACUAAAGGUUCGUUUGUUCAACGAUUAAAACCCUACGUGAUCUGAGUUCAGACCGGA
RNAcentral lists this ribosomal RNA (537 nucleotides) under Physalaemus cuvieri (barker frog). Its description in RNAcentral is "partial large subunit ribosomal RNA". It matches the Rfam family "Bacterial large subunit ribosomal RNA", at positions 1931 to 2620 of the family's 2925-position model. The record is from RNAcentral. Lineage: Eukaryota; Metazoa; Chordata; Amphibia; Anura; Leptodactylidae.